UGACCUCAGAUCAGGUAGGGAUACCCGCUGAACUUAAGCAUAUCAAUAG
Molecule: ribosomal RNA, 49 nt
Filed under: Terfezia claveryi
Lineage: Eukaryota; Fungi; Ascomycota; Pezizomycetes; Pezizales; Pezizaceae
Also listed under: 1 other name
Description: partial 28S ribosomal RNA
Source: RNAcentral